CCCCAACCAGACCCCACCUCCCAUCAGCACAUUCAGCCAUGAGCUCAUCCAUGCAUGAACCCACUGUUGACUAUGGAACCCUCAAGAUCCAAUCACCUUCCACACACAUGGGACUUGUGAGGGACAUUUUAGAUCCAAACUGUGACACGGAGCCUAAACGUUCUCUGCUAGUUCUUCAGCAGCAUGGAUAGAUAGAAAGCGGAACAUGUGUGGUUUGUUUGUUUUAAGUUUGAUCAGUUUCAAGUAGCAUUUUGGCACCUGUUCUUUCUUACUAGAAUGUUUUAUCCUAUAGUGUUACCAUUACUUUAAACCAUGAUUUGUCAUUUUUUUAAAAACAGGCUCACUGAUCAUGGUUAAGAUUUUUCAUCAAACAUGGCAAAGCAUCAUACCUCUUAUUUGUUCAAAACCUCACACUUUCUCCCCCGUUUCAUAGCUAUUAUGAACUCCAAAUUAUUCGGUAGGAUACAUUUUUUUAUACCUAGAGUGCACUGCCUACUAGGAUGGUCUAGUUUCCUGUCUGGGUGGGAGCAUGCUAAGUGUCUUGAGGGUGGCCUAAAAGCGCAUCACUGUGCUACAUCCCCCAGCCUUCUGCACAUUCCUUAGAUGCAGGGUGAGCUUCGGGGGAGGCAGCCUUGCCUAAGGAAACAGUGGGUUCAAAUCUUGCCUCUGCUGCCUACUAGUUACACAGUCCUGGGCAGCUCACUGAGUCACCUUUCCAUGAAACAGGGUCAAGUAUCUGUGUAGGAGUGGAGUAUGAUUAAACAGGAUGCCCUGGGUACCAGACCUUCCUGGUCUCUGCUGGUUCCUUCCUCCACCUCCUCCUCACCUCCUCCCUCCUGCCUAGCCCAUGACCAUUUCUGUCUCUGCUUCAGAGUAGGAUGGAGCUUUUCUCAGGACCACGUGCUUUUCUGGAACCAUGCAGAACUGGAAGCUCUGUGCUCUGGAGGCGGAGGAGACUUAGCAAAGCCCCUUGCUGAAUCAUAGCACAGUUUUGCUUUGUCUCAGAGCUGUGGGCUUUCAGGAAGCUUAAUCCAGUCUUACCCACAUGGGAAGUUUCGCUUUUGAGGUGGGUGUCUCUUCUCCCCAUAUGAAAUUCAUGUCCUACUUUUUUUUAGAACAAGUGCCUGGAAAACUUGGUCUCUCUGGGAACUGAUGUUUUUUUUCUCACUGGGACGAUUCUGUAACAUGUGUUACUCUUCCCCUAUGGGUUCCAGGAAGCUCAAAUUAAGGCUCAGUUAUAAUAACUCUACUUAAUCUUACUGGUUCUAGUAUUUUAUUUCCCUUGUCACAAUGCAAUUACAUGUACCUAUAAUGUAAGACACUUUUGGGUUAGUCUCAUCAGAACUUGUUCACAUUUUAUAUUUGCUCACAAGUCCUUUAGCAAUCAUCUUUUUAAUAUGUAGAGAAGGUGGCUAGAGCUCAGUCAGGAUAUAUAAAUUUUUUUUUUUUAGAUAGGAUCUUGCUCUGUAGUCUAAGCUGGCCUGGAAUUUGCAGUGAUCCUCCUGCCUCAGCCUCCUCAGUGCUGGGAUUAUAGGCAUGCCACCACACCCAGCUUCACUCAGGAUACACUGUAUAUUUUGCUAAUGUUUCAAAUUUCAUUGCCAAUGGAAAAAAAAGUCACCUAAAUUGUAGAUGGUAAUGGCAUUUUUAGAAUAAAAUACUAUUUCUAUUGGUCUAUCCCAUUGUUUAAAAGAACAAUCUUUAAAUAUCUGCAAGGAAGAGCUUAACUAGAUUCACAAUCAGUACCAGCACCUCCUUGUGUUGUAGAAAGUACCAGCAGGUCCACAUGUUUUUGUUUUUGUUUUUUUUGGUACUGGGAUCGAACUCGGGACCUUGCACUUUCGAGGCAGGCGGUGGCACCACCUGGCUAAAUCCCAGCCCUGGUCCGCGUGUUUUUAGAGAAACUGCAUAACUGCCUCACUGUUCCUUCAAUGUGAGGCUUGAAGCCAAUCGUUAUUCUACUACUAGUUUGUGUGACAGUGUAGCACCUGGAAGCCAGCUGAGGCUUGGGUAUUUAAAUCCAUCCUCACAGUAACUCAGUGUGAUUUCGAACCCGGAAGACCUGGAGCCAAACUACUUCCAGGAAAGGUGCUGUAGUUUCAACACCGCCUGGGUCUGAUGCCUGAGAAUUUGUUUCUUUCCCUCCAAAGGACUGAUUUCUUAUUGGCAUUAAGUUCUGUCACACUGCAAAGCAUGGAUGCAAAGCCCGUGGAGAAAGUUACCAUGUUGUGGCUGAAGUCCAGGCUCUGCAGCGGGGAGGGAGGGAGAGGAGAGGCUGCUCCAUGGUCUGUCCAGAUGUUUUGCAAUGAGACUUCAGGGUCUGAUAGUUUUCCCUGACAGUCUCCAUCGAAUCUGCUUCUCCCUCACAGUCUUGCUCUAACUGUGGGAGCAGUGGCAUCGUGAUUUAGGAAGAAGAGCCCAAGGUGGGUGUGGUGAUGGACACCUGUAAUCCCAGCACACUGGGAGGCUGAGGCCUGAGAAUCGCAAGGUCAAGGCCAGCCUGGGCAACAGUGAUUUAAUGCAAUCCUUCCUCAAAAUGUUUUGUUAAAAGGCUAGGGAUGGAGAUGUAGCUCAGCGCAAAGGUCCUGGGCUCAAUCCCCAGACUUGCGGGGAGGAACUUGAGGAAGAGGAAACAAAAGCGGUGUCCAUGUGGUCUCCUCCCCCUACUGUGCCUGGCUUCUUGCUGGCACCUGGGCUUAGUGCCCAUGGGCCUCCAGCACCCCUGGGGUCACAUAUCCAGUGAGCAUGACCUGUUCCACAGGGACUCACUCCCCCUGCCAGGCGCCUGAGAGCACAUCCUUCACAGUAUUUUAAGUGGUGCAAAGCCCUUGUAUUUAGGGUGGAUUUGAAUUUUGGGACCCAGCGAUCAAAUUAUUUAGAGUUCAGUUGGGAGACUUGAGUGGGUAACCAGCCUCGAGUAAAGCAAUUUUCAUUUAGGAAAAACAAGCACAUAAACACUGGGCUGAGUAAUAGCUAUGGAAUAACAAGAAUGGCUUACUUUGGAAGCUUGGGAAAGGACUCCUGGGAAUUUCAGAAAUGCAAAGCACUGAUGCAAUGAAGUCACCCCUUUGGAAAAGAAACUGCUGUAUGUGGAAAACUUAGUGCAUUUCAUCGAUGCAGCUUUUGGUUUUGAUUUUUCACCUCUACUCGUGUAUAAGUCACCCAGCCUGGACUCUCUGACACCCACUUCCUGCUAAACAAGGUGAUCCCGAAGAACAGGGAGAUGGGUCUGUGGUGUGAAGGGCUUUCUGUCCCCAAGUGCUCCUGAGAUCGUCUAGAACCUUUCAGAUCUUGAAGGCUGUGUUAUUUAUGGAGCCCCCUUUGAAUGCACACACCCUUAGGAGAUAUUAUAUCUUUUUUUGUUUUUGGUACGGGGAUCCAACCCAGGACCUUGUGCUUGUGAGGCAGGUGACAGAACCACUGAGCUAAAUCCCUGGCCCCAGGAGAUAUUAUAUCUUGAUGCACACCUAAAAUACACUGCAAAAUAUCCUAAAGGACUGUGACUCAUAAAUACACUAACAAGGGGGAAAGGAUACUGCAUCAAUCUGUCCAGCUGUCACUUAUUUAAUGAUGAUGGAAAAUCUACCAUGUCCCAAGUGUUGCUCUCUGCGACACUGGGGAGAUGAUGAACCGAUAUGACCCUUGAGAGGCUUAGUGUCCACUGUCACAUGAUUAAAGGGUAAGCCAGGGGGAGAGGAAGAUGUCAUGGAAGGGGCAGAUAUAAAAGCUCAGGGAGUAGGGUCGGAGCCGGGCUGGGGGACUGCAGGUUUUUAUUGUGUACGGUGGGAAGGGACCUCAUCCCUCUCCACAGCGUCUCUCCUCUAGGGGGUCAGGAGGCCGCUCCAGCCUCUUGCUUCCUCCUAGCACAGAGCUUGUGCACCCUUUGAGCCCUCUUGUCCUGGGUGACCUUGAGCAGCUGCAUAGUGGAAAGCCACAGGCAUCUCAGAAUGUGUCCUGCCUGACUGCUUGGAAAGGUGCCCUCGGCAGUGUUCCUGGUCACCUAGGGGCUCUUACUGGUCCACAGUCUCGGGGUGUCACAAAGCAGGGCUACAGUCAGAGGCUGCUGUUGGGGGCCCCCUGGGUGGUGCUUUCUUCUGGGCUUUAAGGUGCACCUUGUACCUAUAGAAGAGUUGCAGAUGGGCCAUCUCCUGCCCUGGAAAAUGCUGGCUCCAGGAACUGGAGGAGAGGGUUUGGGGGUUUCCUUUGGUGUCAUCAGUGCCUUCCUGCCUCACAAGACCUUUUUUGAAAGGAUAGCUUGAGGGAGGGUGGCAGGGGAAGAGCUGUCUUUGGCUCCUUCUCCAAGCCACCCGGGCUAUGGUGGUGGCUAUGCAGGGGCGGCCCAUUUUUAUGCACACUGCACACCACUGUUUCCUUCUCCAGCAGGUGAAAUCUCUGCCCUCUUCAGAAGGUGAGCUGUGAGCUUGCUUAUUUUAAAACUGUGACCUGUGAGGAGGGAGGUGUUCUUUGACAACGUGACAUCAUCCAAGCCUCUAUGUGUUGAGUCAUCAUUAUUUUUAGGCAGCUCUGUGCUUUUUCUGGCCAUUCUAAGAAUAGCCCAGUGUCUGGACUCUGCAGAAAGUCACCUCGGUGACAAUCCUGUCACCACACCACAGUUGGGAUGGACGGACGGAAUGCCUUCUCAAAUUCCAGGUCCCGGGCAUGCUUUUCCACCUCCAAAUGUUCUGCCUUUUUAGGUGUUCUGCAACCAACAAGAUAACUCUUGUCGGGGAUGUCAUUUAAAGUCGUUCAGCCUUGUGUCAAUGUACUCAUGGCUGCAAGCAGAACAGAGGCUGUAAAGUAACAGCCCACUGAUCUCUACUUAACCAGUACCUGCUUGGGUCAUGAAAACCUUAAUCCCAUGACUUUACCCAAUGUAAACUUGUCAAGGCAUGUUUCCAUAUGUGCACGUUACAGAUUGACUCACACUAGAUGCCUGGUUAAGAUGUGGGGUAGGGGGUACUGCUACCGGGAUCCAGGCCAGGUCAACUAAAAACAGCACACACAGACAUCGUUAUAGCUCAUCACAUUUAGCAAGCAAACAAGUGGCUGGAUUUGGUGACCUGGCGGUGGGUGAGAGGGGUUGAGCAGACCCGUAAAUGGGACUCUGUGCACUACCAUGGGGUCAGCCUCUCCACUGCCACUCAGAAUGUGCCCAAGUAUGAUUUGUUUAUUUUCUGGGGCUCUCCUGAGCUCAUAGGGGCAUCCAUGGUUUGCGAGUAUAGACAAAUGCUUUUCCAAUGAAGUGGGAGUGGGAGCAGCAGCUCGGGAUAAAAUGAGACCGUUGUCUGGGCUGUUUUUUAUGACAUCAUAGUGUGUCCGUGGGACAGAAGCACGGUUAUCGUAUGACCAGCGCCCUGGUGUGGUUGGAAGGACCAGGGCGGGCUGUGAAGCUGGGCUUUGCCUUGAGUCCCAGGACUCAGCAGAGCUGGCUGUGGCUCCCUGUCUAAGACUGAGCCUCCUCCCCAGCUGGGUGGUUCAGCAUCUCCUGAGAGAAAUGGUGUGGCACAGUCUUAGCAUGGCAAUUAUCAGCCCAUGCCCCCAACCAGACACCAGGUCUGGAGUUAUGGGACACAGGCAGUUUAGUUAACCCAUCCAAAACUUAGCUCCCCAUCAGUAGAGAGCACUGAGACCUUGGACUUACCUCACAGCAUUGGUGAGUGAUGCAGCUGACCUAGCCCAUGAUGGCUUUGUCCUGGAGCCUGAAGGUAGUGGGGCAGUCAUGACUGAGGUUUCUGCCACCAGCUUAGAACUCAGGAGCCUUGUCUGCCUUGUCUGUGGUCAUUCCUGCCAUCCCAGGGCAGCAUCCUGGUCUACUCCAUGGUCUCUUCUCACCACCCACAGAAGGGUGUCUAUAUCCAGGUGGUGGGAAGGGCAGUGAACCUAGGACUGGCUUGGAACCUGAGCACAUAGGUUCCCAGAGCACAGCCCAUUGCUGUCCCCUUUGCACACAGCAUCUAGAGCAGGCACAAGAAAAGAAAAAAGAAAAAAAGCCAGUCGUGUCUUCCUUCCCUGGCGCUCUCCAGAAAGGUUCCUUGCCCGUUGCAUUGAAUGCGUGGUUAAAGACCAGAUGUGGGCCAUGGGCAAUUCUGUUCCUCUUCUCCCCUGUGAAGCCAGACGUGCACUGGAUUUCUGUUUCAGUCGAACGAUUUCUUAGACAUUUCCGGGAUAGACAGUGCAAUUUUCCUUUCCUACUGUGCUCUUCAUUCUGUUUAUCUUUUCAUCUGUUUCUGGGAGAAAACUCAUUUGGUUGGCCCUGCUUUCUUUGUGAGCCAUUAAAGUCAUUUCAAAUUUUAAUUUUAGGAAGCAGAAGUCUACUUGAAUGCAGGACGCUCUUCUCUGCUGCUGUUUCCUCCUUGCCAGCCCGAGGAAUGUACAUCCCCAGCUGCCUCACAUCUGAGAACCUGGAGGCCUCCUCCAGCCUCCUGUUGUUGACUGCUGACCAGGACUAGGGUUGACUUUGCUCCACUGGUUUCCUUGAGUGAGUUCACUGAAGACUGAUAUAUACAGUGGUAUAUUAAAUGGUUACUUUUGCUGCAAUCUUAUUUUUAUCUCUGGGAUUUUUUGUUAACAUUUAAAAGCAAGUCAUUUAUUUAGAUAGAAAUCUUCCGAUAUAUACAACAUUCAGGAAGAAAUAAAUAUAUGUUGUUGUCCACACAGUGUGGGAAAGAUGGUGAGAAGAAAACCAGGAGCUGGUGCUUGAAUUGUGCAGCAGAAAGCUCCUCCCAGCCUUCCUGGCCCACGCUGUGCUCCUCCCCCUGCCGUUCCCUUCCUGCCAAAGAUCCUUUCCCUGAUCGAUGGAUGGCAUCCGGGCCCUCUACACAAAAGUAUUUUAAAGGCUACAUCAGGAAGAAAGCACUUUUUUUUUUUUUUUUUUUUUUUUUGCCAUUUUGUAACAUUGUUUAUUAAGAGGGAAAGUCGGUAUUUCUAAGCUGUAAACAAUGAGGAAUUGAAGUGUCAAAAACGCAGAGAUCAGAUACCGCCAUAACUCUUACACUGUCUUAUUGCCUUAACCUAUGCAAAAUACUCAGGCAAAAGUGAGUAUUAAGCGAACAAUUUUGCAUAUACGGCCCCUUCUCUUUAUCUUUCUGUGCCUUUAUCUUUUGUUUGACUUUCAGCAGUUCUGCCUGGAUAGCUUUAUCUUCUGGUGCUAUCUCUGAGCUUAGGAAGAAAGCACUUUUUCCUCCACCUCCCUCCCUCCCUUUUUAAAAACCCAGAGUAUCUCUGGCUAAUGCUCUCCCUCAGUUCCUUUGUCUCUUGUCUCCUGGUUCAUAUGCUGGGUACUGAUGAGCUGGGGAUGUGCUUUUUCCUGUUCCCUUGAAGAAGGCAAUCUUGUAUUUCUUGGUGAGAAUAAAUAAAAGUGAAGUCACACCUAGCAGGCGAUGUAGGCAGCAGAUCCAGACUGUCCAUGAGAAGGCAAAUUUUGCAACAAACUAGGGGAGGAGGAAGAUUGAAUUCCUAUAACUGUGAGUGUCUUACACUCUGAUCUUCUCUAUCUUCCUUCUCCAACUAAGCAGUUGUAUCCAGGCCUUUAAUUGCUAGCUGUGUAUACACUGGUAAGUCCCAACACCCUGUACCUAAAUCAGCACCCCCUCUGAGUGAGCCGCCAGGCGCCUCCUUUAAUGUUAUAACACAGAAACUAAGAUCCAAGACUGGAGCCCUGCUCUUUCCCUCUAACCACGUCCCCCUGCCUCCUUCCAGUGUGCCUUGACCUCCUGCCCAGCCACCCACACCCAGUUCCUCUAUCAGAAACUCUCCUCCUCCCACACCCACAUCCCUCAUGAUCUAACCUCGGUGGCAUUAUUACAGGCUAAGCCAGACAGAAAUUAAUAUACAGUCAGAGAGGGACUGGGCUGUCAAGGAAGCCAGUGAAAAUCACAGAUAGCAGAAUUGUGGCUAGAGGCACAUCUGAAGAAGACAAGGCCUCAAGAUAGGGUCACAGUGCCCUCACUUCCCUAAGGGACAGGCAGAACUAUGAUUGGUACCACAUGCAUCAGAUCCCCAGAUGGGUAACCAGAACACCUGGACACAUCCCUUCCCCAAAUGCUCCUGCUUUAGAAGUCAUAUAGGACAAGGUUAAUGACUUCAGCCACAUACCCUUUGCUACAUGCCCCAUUUCCCUAUUGGAUCAACAUUAGCUAAGCAGCUAUACCUGUAAUCUUAUUGCUUGAUUAUAGUUUGACCCACGUUGUACCCACACUGAGACUUUGCUGUAUAAAUUACCCCUGACAAAGGGUGGCAACCCACUCAGGACCCCUCCUGUCUCUCAGGAGCUAACUCUCCAUAAACCUCCUUUGUCCUUUGAAAUUUAUUCUUUGAUUUCAGGGCACACAAACAUGGCACGUCUGACACAUGGCAGGUAGGCAGUUAUAUUUUUCCUAUGUCAGCGUGAUCUAGACAUCUCCCCGGGCUCUGGGUGCCUCUCGUCUGGAAACUGCGGUUGCAUCUGUCCUGGUCUUUGACUGGUUCACUCUGGCCACAUUUUGACACAUUUCCUUUUGUACAUUGAGUACUUGGGGGAGGGGGGUGGCUUAUUUCAAAGGUCAAAUCUGUUAAGUAUAAACAUAUCAAAAGCUUCCCAUUCCUUUCUGGAUAAAAGCCAUAUUCUUAGCCUGGUCCUUAAUACCCAUCCCACCCCAAAGAUUUUCUCCCAUGCCAUAGCCCCUGGGCUCUGUGUCUAGGCCACAUGAAUGACUCUUCCUUUCAGUGUGCCUGCACUGGUUUGUUCCCAGGGCCUUUGCACAUGCUGUGUCCUCUGCUGGCACUCAUCACUUAAACCCCAUCUCCGAUGCUUCUGUGCCAGCCCUCACCUUUGCUGAUCCCAUGUUCCACACCAUCACAGGCCUGGGUUUCUUCCUGUAGAGUGUUCCCCUCAGCACAGUGAUCCAUUUCCCCAUGGGACUAUUAACUAAGACCCUCACAUUAGACCAUAUAGCUCCUGACUGCAUCUGCCCCACUGAAACUCUGCCCACUUAGCACAGAUCCUGGCACAGCAUUUGUGGGGAAACUAACAUGUGACUGGCACCUUUGACUGAUGUCUGAUGAAGACAUGUCCCAUGGGACCCAGAGAUUUCUUCCAGAAAUUAGAACUUUAGUUAUCCUCAAGACAAUAUUCCCCUUCUUCAGUGUAAUAACUAAGAAAACUCUGCCGAGUCUGCCAGGAGAUUUCUGUGAGUGAUUUCUUCUGACCUUUGCAGAAGGGAGGGAGGGAGAAGGUGCAGACCUGGAGCCAUCUGUUGGUGUAGACAGUGAUCUGUUGUGAUCAGGACUUGAACCCUCAUCUUUUACUAUUUUUAAGAAAUCUGUUUUCAUGGUCCUUAACUGCAAUCCCAUCUUCUAUAUCUGAUAUUCUAUCUUCAGAUUCCCUUAAUCUUCUGUGCAUACUUUCAGUGGAGUUUUUAGUCUCCUGAAUAUCUGUUUGAAUCUGUUUCAUGGAUUCCAUUUCUUUCUUAUGCUGGGCAUUCAUGGCUUCCAGCAUGUUUCUGAGCUCAUCUAUUUUUUUUAAUCUGUUUCCAUUCUAGAGCCUCUAAUCGUGUCUUUCACUCUGUUCACCGUCUCCAUGUUAUCUGGGAGAUUAUUUCUGCUUUGAAUUUUUCUAGAGCCUCAUUUCGUCUGUUUUGUUACUUCCUGUGCUAUCAGUUCAGGGUGUCCAGGUG
This 9653-nucleotide long non-coding RNA is filed under the name Heterocephalus glaber (naked mole-rat). Its description in RNAcentral is "lncRNA (ENSHGLG00000048125.1)". Lineage: Eukaryota; Metazoa; Chordata; Mammalia; Rodentia; Bathyergidae. The record is from RNAcentral.